Molecule: ribosomal RNA, 460 nt
Filed under: uncultured bacterium
Lineage: Bacteria
Description: partial 16S ribosomal RNA
Rfam family: Bacterial small subunit ribosomal RNA
Source: RNAcentral
CCUACGGGAGGCAGCAGUGAGGAAUAUUGGUCAAUGGCCGGAAGGCUGAACCAGCCAUGCCGCGUGAAGGUCAGUGCCCUAUGGGCGUUAAACUUCUUUUGUGCGGGAGCAAUAAUGGUCACGUGUGGCCAGACGAGAGUACCGUACGAAUAAGCAUCGGCUAACUCCGUGCCAGCAGCCGCGGUAAUACGGGGGAUGCAAGCGUUAUCCGGAUUUAUUGGGGUUAAAGGGUGCGUAGGGUGGGAGGUAAGUCAGCGGGGGAAGUCCCCGGCUCAACGGGGGGAAGUGCCAUUGAUACUGCCUUGCUGGAGUGCGGAUGCGGUGGGAGGAAUGUGUGGUGUAGCGGUGAAAUGCAUAGAUAUCAGGCAGAACACCGAUUGCGAAGGCAGCUCACGAGUCCGCGAUUGACGCUGAGGCACGAAAGCGUGGGGAUCAAACAGGAUUAGAUACCCUGGUAGUC